UUCCAUGCUUCCAAGAAAAGCAUCUAGAGAGAGAAGUAGUGCCCGUACCGCAAACCGACACAGGUAGAUGAGGAGAGAAUCCUAAGGCCGGCGGAAGAAUUGCAGUUAAGGAACUAGGCAAAUUGACCCCGUAAGUUAGCGAGAAGGGGUGCCUGCGAGAGCAGGCCGCAGAGAAUAGGCCCAAGCAACUGUUUAGCAAAAACACAGGUCUCUGCUAAAGCGCAAGCUGAUGUAUAGGGGCUGACGCCUGCCCGGUGCUGGAAGGUUAAGGGGAACACUUAGCGCAAGCGAAGGUGUGAACUUAAGCCCCAGUAAACGGCGGCCGUAACUAUAACGGUCCUAAGGUAGCGAAAUUCCUUGUCAGGUAAGUUCUGACCCGCACGAAUGGCGUAAUGACUUGGGCACUGUCUCAACUGCAAAUCCGGCGAAGUUGUAGUGCGAGUGAAGAUGCUCGCUACCCGCGAUUGGACGGAAAGACCCCGUAGAGCUUUACUGUAGCUUAGCAUUGAAUUCCGGUAUUGUCUGUACAGGAUAGGUGGGAGACUGGGAAACUAGGGCGUCAGCCUUAGUGGAGUCGUCCUUGGGAUACCACCCUGACAGUACUGGGGUUCUAACAGGACGCCAUGAAUCUGGUGACUGGACAUUGUUAGGUGGGCAGUUUGACUGGGGCGGUCGCCUCCUAAAAAGUAACGGAGGCGCCCAAAGGUUCCCUCAGAACGGUCGGAAAUCGUUCGUAGAGUGCAAAGGCAGAAGGGAGCCUGACUGCGAGACCUACAAGUCGAGCAGGGACGAAAGUCGGGCUUAGUGAUCCGGUGGUACCUCGUGGGAGGGCCAUCGCUCAACGGAUAAAAGCUACCUCGGGGAUAACAGGCUGAUCUCCCCCAAGAGUCCACAUCGACGGGGAGGUUUGGCACCUCGAUGUCGGCUCGUCGCAUCCUGGGGCUGUAGUAGGUCCCAAGGGUUGGGCUGUUCGCCCAUUAAAGCGGCACGCGAGCUGGGUUCAGAACGUCGUGAGACAGUUCGGUCCCUAUCCGUCGCGGGCGUAGGAAAUUUGAGAGGAGCUGUCCUUAGUACGAGAGGACCGGGAUGGACUGACCUCUGGUGCACCAGUUGUUCUGCCAAGAGCAUGGCUGGGUAGCUAAGUCGGGAAGGGAUAAACGCCGAAAGCAUCUAAGCGUGAAGCCUCCCUCAAGAUGAGAUUUCCCAUAGCAUAAGCUAGUAAGACCCCUUGAAGAACACGAGGUUGAUAGGUCAGAGGUGUAAGUGUGGUAACAUAUUUAGCUGACUGAUACUAAUAGGUCGAGGGCUUGACC
This 1313-nucleotide ribosomal RNA is filed under the name metagenome. Its description in RNAcentral is "bacterial LSU rRNA". It matches the Rfam family "Bacterial large subunit ribosomal RNA", at positions 1598 to 2925 of the family's 2925-position model. The record is from RNAcentral.